CCUACGGGGGGCAGCAGUGGGGGAUAUUGCACAAUGGGGGGAACCCUGAUGCAGCGACGCCGCGCGGGUGAAGGAGUGCUUCGGCAUGUAAAGCCCUAUCGGCAGGGAAGAAGCAAGACGGUACCUGACUAAGAAGCCCCGGCUAACUACGUGCCAGCAGCCGCGGUAAUACGUAGGGGGCGAGCGUUAUCCGGAUUCACUGGGUGUAAAGGGAGCGUAGACGGCCAUGCAAGCCAGGGGUGAAAGCCCGGGGCCCAACCCCGGGACUGCCCUUGGAACUGUGCGGCUAGAGUGCGGGAGGGGCAGGCGGAAUGCCUGGUGUAGCGGUGAAAUGCGUAGAUAUCAGGAGGAACACCGGCGGCGAAGGCGGCCUGCUGGACUGCGACUGACGUUGAGGCUCGAAAGCGUGGGGAGCGAACAGGAUUAGAUACCCUGGUAGUC
This 441-nucleotide ribosomal RNA is filed under the name uncultured bacterium. Its description in RNAcentral is "partial 16S ribosomal RNA". It matches the Rfam family "Bacterial small subunit ribosomal RNA", at positions 338 to 795 of the family's 1533-position model. The record is from RNAcentral.